This 337-nucleotide long non-coding RNA is filed under the name Athene cunicularia (burrowing owl). RNAcentral describes it as "lncRNA (ENSACUG00000001347.1)". Lineage: Eukaryota; Metazoa; Chordata; Aves; Strigiformes; Strigidae. The record is from RNAcentral.
GGGAAAUCUCAUUUGUUGGGACAGUGAUGAAAGAAACAAGAAGGCAAGGUGGAAGACAGGACAUAAAGGCAGAAAAGGAGGAGUCAGCAUGUGGUGAGGAAAAUGCAAAGCUCCAGUGAUAAACCGAUUCACCAGACGGGCAUCAGAGAAAGGAGAAAAACUAUUGAGGCGAUCAAGAGACUUGGAUGGGAAGAAAGGGGGACAUGGAUGUAGAAGCAGCAUGAAGUGGAAGAGAAAGCUGUGAGUAUGUUUAUGAGGUGACAAAUGAGUGGAAAUUCCUGAACAAGCCAAGGUAGCCAAGAGGUGCAGUUUCUGAGGACAGAUACUUUCUUGCUAU